CUACGGCGGCAGCAGUGGGGAAUAUUGCACAAUGGAGGAAACUCUGAUGCAGCAACGCCGCGUGGAGGAUGACACUUUUCGGAGCGUAAACUCCUUUUAUAUAGGAAGAAGAUGACGGUACUAUAUGAAUAAGCGCCGGCUAACUCCGUGCCAGCAGCCGCGGUAAUACGGAGGGCGCAAGCGUUACUCGGAAUCACUGGGCGUAAAGAGCGUGUAGGCGGAUUAAAAAGUCAGAAGUGAAAUCCUAUAGCUUAACUAUAGAACUGCUUCUGAAACUCUUAAUCUAGAAUAUGGGAGAGGUAGAUGGAAUUUCUGGUGUAGGGGUAAAAUCCGUAGAGAUCAGAAGGAAUACCGAUUGCGAAGGCGAUCUACUAGAACAUUAUUGACGCUGAGACGCGAAAGCGUGGGGAGCAAACAGGAUUAGAUACCCGAGUAGUC
RNAcentral lists this ribosomal RNA (438 nucleotides) under uncultured bacterium. RNAcentral's name for it is "partial 16S ribosomal RNA". It matches the Rfam family "Bacterial small subunit ribosomal RNA", at positions 339 to 795 of the family's 1533-position model. The record is from RNAcentral.